This 158-nucleotide ribosomal RNA is filed under the name uncultured bacterium. Its description in RNAcentral is "partial 16S ribosomal RNA". It matches the Rfam family "Bacterial small subunit ribosomal RNA", at positions 372 to 526 of the family's 1533-position model. The record is from RNAcentral.
UGGGGGACGCCUGAUGAGCCUGCCGCGUGUGUGAAGAAGGCCUUCGGGUUGUAAAGCACUUUCAGCGGGGAGGAAGGUACUGUAGUUAAUACCCGCAUUAAUUGACGUUACCUACAGAAGAAGCACCGGCUAACUCCGUGCCCCAGCCGCGGUAAUAA